AGAGUUUGAUCCUGGCUCAGGACGAACGCUGGCGGCGCGCCUAACACAUGCAAGUCGAACGAGCGAGAGAGAGCUUGCUUUCUCGAGCGAGUGGCGAACGGGUGAGUAACGCGUGAGGAAUCUGCCUCAAAGAGGGGGACAACAGUUGGAAACGACUGCUAAUACCGCAUAAGCCCACGGGUCGGCAUCGACCAGAGGGAAAAGGAGCAAUCCGCUUUGAGAUGGCCUCGCGUCCGAUUAGCUAGUUGGUGAGGUAACGGCCCACCAAGGCGACGAUCGGUAGCCGGACUGAGAGGUUGAACGGCCACAUUGGGACUGAGACACGGCCCAGACUCCUACGGGAGGCAGCAGUGGGGAAUAUUGCACAAUGGGGGAAACCCUGAUGCAGCGACGCCGCGUGGAGGAAGAAGGUCUUCGGAUUGUAAACUCCUGUUGUUGGGGAAGAUAAUGACGGUACCCAACAAGGAAGUGACGGCUAACUACGUGCCAGCAGCCGCGGUAAAACGUAGGUCACAAGCGUUGUCCGGAAUUACUGGGUGUAAAGGGAGCGCAGGCGGGAAGACAAGUUGGAAGUGAAAUCUAUGGGCUCAACCCAUAAACUGCUUUCAAAACUGUUUUUCUUGAGUAGUGCAGAGGUAGGCGGAAUUCCCGGUGUAGCGGUGGAAUGCGUAGAUAUCGGGAGGAACACCAGUGGCGAAGGCGGCCUACUGGGCACCAACUGACGCUGAGGCUCGAAAGUGUGGGUAGCAAACAGGAUUAGAUACCCUGGUAGUCCACACCGUAAACGAUGAUUACUAGGUGUUGGAGGAUUGACCCCUUCAGUGCCGCAGUUAACACAAUAAGUAAUCCACCUGGGGAGUACGACCGCAAGGUUGAAACUCAAAGGAAUUGACGGGGGCCCGCACAAGCAGUGGAGUAUGUGGUUUAAUUCGACGCAACGCGAAGAACCUUACCAAGUCUUGACAUCCCUUGACAGGCAUAGAAAUAUGUUUUCUCUUCGGAGCAAGGAGACAGGUGGUGCAUGGUUGUCGUCAGCUCGUGUCGUGAGAUGUUGGGUUAAGUCCCGCAACGAGCGCAACCCUUAUGGUCAGUUACUACGCAAGAGGACUCUGGCCAGACUGCCGUUGACAAAACGGAGGAAGGUGGGGAUGACGUCAAAUCAUCAUGCCCUUUAUGACUUGGGCUACACACGUACUACAAUGGCGUUAAACAAAGAGAAGCAAGACCGCGAGGUGGAGCAAAACUCAGAAACAACGUCCCAGUUCGGACUGCAGGCUGCAACUCGCCUGCACGAAGUCGGAAUUGCUAGUAAUCGUGGAUCAGCAUGCCACGGUGAAUACGUUCCCGGGCCUUGUACACACCGCCCGUCACACCAUGAGAGCCGGGGGGACCCGAAGUC
RNAcentral lists this ribosomal RNA (1399 nucleotides) under metagenome. Its description in RNAcentral is "bacterial SSU rRNA". It matches the Rfam family "Bacterial small subunit ribosomal RNA". The record is from RNAcentral.